This 464-nucleotide ribosomal RNA is filed under the name Trioceros ellioti. RNAcentral describes it as "partial 16S ribosomal RNA". It matches the Rfam family "Bacterial large subunit ribosomal RNA", at positions 1921 to 2615 of the family's 2925-position model. The record is from RNAcentral. Lineage: Eukaryota; Metazoa; Chordata; Lepidosauria; Squamata; Chamaeleonidae.
CCCUAAACGGCCGCGGCACUAAAACCGUGCAAAGGUAGCACAAUCACUUGUCCAUUAAAUGAGGACCCGUAUGAAAGGCAACAUGAGAGAAAACCUGUCUCUUAAGGCUAGCCAAUGAAAUUGUACUACCAGUACAAAAACUGGUAUAUCAAAGCAAGACAAAAAGACCCUGUGGAACUUUUAACAAAUUGUUUAAACAUGUAAACAACAGUUUCAGUUGGGACAACUUUAGAAAAAAUAAACUUCUUAAUUUACCAAGACAAACAAGUCUAAGACAACACAGAUCCAGUAACACUGAUUAACGAAACAAGCUACCCCAGGGAUAACAGCGCCACCUUCUCAAAGAGUCCAUAUCAACAAGAAGAUCUACGACCUCGAUGUUGGAUCAGGGUACCCAGACGGUGCAACAGCUGUCAAUGGUUCGUUUGUUCAACGAUUAAUACCCUACGUGAUCUGAGUUCAGA